RNAcentral lists this long non-coding RNA (221 nucleotides) under Elaeis guineensis (African oil palm). Its description in RNAcentral is "long non-coding RNA (EGUI_LNC003681)". The record is from RNAcentral. Lineage: Eukaryota; Viridiplantae; Streptophyta; Magnoliopsida; Arecales; Arecaceae.
CUUGGGGAGCAUUCUUUAUUUUGCCCUACCACAAUAGAACUGGCAGGGGCUUUUUCGGUGAAGACCUCCUUCAUGUGGGCAUAUUUCUCCACAUAGACAAGCAUAUUAGGAUAAUCCUGAGGAAAAUUCUUCACUAAUGACUUUUUGAAGUCGUUCUUCAAAAGUCCACCUAUCAUCGCAAAUAUCGCAAUCGACUCAUCUAGGUUGCGAACCUCCAGGAU